GUGGGGAAUCUUCCGCAAUGGACGAAAGUCUGACGGAGCAACGCCGCGUGAGUGAAGAAGGUUUUCGGAUCGUAAAGCUCUUUCGUUAGGGACGAACGUGCUCUUUGUGAAUAAUGAGGAGUAAUGACGGUACCUAAAUAAGAAGCCACGGCUAACUACGUGCCAGCAGCCGCGGUAAUACGUAGGUGGCAAGCGUUGUCCGGACUUAUUGGGCGGAAAGCGCGCGCAGGCGGGAUAUCAAGUCUGUCUUAAAAGUGCGAGGCUCAACCUCGUGAGGGGACAGAAACUGGUAUUCUUGAGUGUCGGAGAGGAAAGUGGAAUUCCAAGUGUAGCGGUGAAAUGCGUAGAGAUUUGGAAGAACACCAGUGGCGAAGGCGACUUUCUGGACGAUGUCUGACGCUGAGGCGCGAAAGCUAGGGGAGCGAACGGGAUUAGAAACCCCGGUAGGUCC
This 451-nucleotide ribosomal RNA is filed under the name uncultured bacterium. Its description in RNAcentral is "partial 16S ribosomal RNA". It matches the Rfam family "Bacterial small subunit ribosomal RNA", at positions 354 to 796 of the family's 1533-position model. The record is from RNAcentral.